RNAcentral lists this ribosomal RNA (253 nucleotides) under uncultured prokaryote. Its description in RNAcentral is "partial 16S ribosomal RNA". It matches the Rfam family "Bacterial small subunit ribosomal RNA", at positions 524 to 776 of the family's 1533-position model. The record is from RNAcentral.
UACGGAGGGUGCAAGCGUUAUCCGGAUUCACUGGGUUUAAAGGGUGCGUAGGUGGGUUGAUAAGUCAGUGGUGAAAGCUCCGAGCUUAACUUGGAAACUGCCAUUGAUACUGUCAGUCUUGAAUGUCGUAGAGGUAAGCGGAAUGUUGCAUGUAGCGGUGAAAUGCUUAGAUAUGUUACAGAACACCAAUUGCGAAGGCAGCUUACUAUGUGAUGAUUGACGCUGAGGCACGAAAGCGUGGGGAGCAAACAGG